CUUGACUAAAGUUUGUUAACAGUUUAGAUGUUACAGUACUGCAUGACAAACUCAGGUAUAGUCAUUUCUGUUCAAGAUAAGUAUUUUUAUGUUGAUAUAAUAUUUUUUUCAUACUGUAAUAUAAGCAGAUAUUGUGAACAAAGCAGCAUGUUACAAAUUGUAUGCAUGAAAGGUGCUUUUCUAGAUUUACAUUCAUCGAAAACACCACCAAAAAAUUAAUGCAUAUUGCGUCUUGUGUAUUGUCUGCUAGUAAAUCAAUAUUUUUGUUUGUUUAUUUAAAAAAAUCCAUUAAAAGUUAAAAGUUAAAGUCAUAAGAUACCUCAAAUUAAAAAAAUCAUGCAUAUGUUUUUGAUUAACUAAAUGGAUAGUUUUCAUUAUACAACUGAUGUAUAUAUACUUUUUUCUGAGGGAAAAUUCUUCAAUUUGUCCACAUUUAGAAAAGUUUACUGAUUUUUAAUUGCUUGCUUCCAGGAAGCAAUUCGCCGACAUAUUUUCCGUAUGCAUAGUGACCUGAGCAUAACCCUUCUCGUAAAAAUCCGGUGAUCGCAAUACGCAUGGAUCUGUCAUUAAAAUAAACAAUUAUCUGACGGUUCAUGUUAAACACGUGCUCAAUACCCAUGCUUUUUGUUAUUGUUUGUUACUAUAAGGUGACAUCGGUAAACUUCGGCUGUAAAACACGGCAUUUAAUGAGCAGCCAUAUUUGUUAAAUCAUACCAGACAGAGAGAGAAAAAAAAAUGACGAUUAUACGAUAUAUUUGCCGUUAAAAAAUGACAAAAUCGUGCACAGAGUUCUAAGUUUAUGAUAUAUACAUGCAUUGGUUCAAGAAUUGGAUAAACAUUAUUUUUCACCACUCAUUAUUUUUCACCACUCACUGGUUUCAUAUGACUUUAAAAUCUACAUGAAUAUACUUGUCGAGUAUAUCAAAACUUCAUAAUGCUAACAUUUAUUCAUCACAUGAGAAAUACUCAACUAUCCUUGAUUUCGGUUUAAGUUUCGUUUUCGGAUUUCUCACUGUUUACGGUCGUAUUGUUGGCUACAAGUGCUUCCAUUCGAUACUUUUGAACUGUCGUUGAUAGUUGUCAGUGGGUAAUCAUACAUGUACCACAUCUCCUUACGCUUAUAUUGGUACAUGAUCGGAGUCGAACCUUCACGGAAAACCCAAUGCAUCGGAACUUUAUGAAAACUAAGAAAAAGUGGAAUAGAAAAUGGGGGAAAUGUAGGUUUUUUACCAUUUUUUUUCUAUAGCAUCAUCAGAUUUAAAUGUAAUUUCAGUAAUUGAUGGGGUAAAUUGGGUGACAGCCGUCCUUUAUUCGCGCGAUGCUGAAUGAUUAAAGUAAAAUUCCUUUUAAAAUUUUUUUUAACAAAAAUAAUUUGUAAGCACAUGUUGAUCAUUUAGAUGCUAUUAUAGUGCUACACCAAUGUAUUUCCUUUGAACCUAUUUAUCGUUCAACGGAGAUGUGUCGCAUACCUUCAAGAAAUAACUACAAAAUAGCUUUGAAAAGAAAUUGAAAUUAAGAUAUCUAAUCUAGUUCUAUUUAUCUAAACAUGUGUUCAAAGUGUUUUAAAGCUUACAGUUUUCUGUUCGGUAUGUAUUUCCAGAUUAUCUACUUACCAUCCAUUUUUUAAGUCAUUGCCUGCACCAAUUCAAUAAUGUGACAGUUGUUUUGAAUGAUGUGUUAGAGAUUUGGACUUUGCCAUUUGAAUUUUCGUAAGAGUUCGGAGUAUUUUGUUAUUGUUCUUUUUUCACUUUAUUUUAGUUUAGUCGCAGUAGCAUGCAUAUAUCAUUUUCCUUUAUGGAAACGGUCUCUGGUUAUAAGUGUUCAGAACAUUUUGGUUUUAUAAUACAGGUAUUGAUAGUAACAUAAUUAACGAUAUCGGUUUAACUGAACCUGAUACGAAUUCCGACAAUUAUUGACGUCUUUUCAAUGGUACUCGAGACUAGAUUUACAACAAUUUAAUUAAACUUCCUGAUUUCAAAUGCCCUUAAAUUUCGUAUUUGAUUUUGUCUUUCAUCUACAAUUGUAGCGCCACUUAGGAGUCUUUUGUAGCAGAAAAGUCGUAAAGGAAAUGAAGAUUACCACCAUCUUUUACUUUAUUUCAGAUAAUGAUACAUACUGCUGCAGUUAUAACAGCUUUGUUUGGCGUUUUGUAUUGGUUUACUUCAAAACAGAAUCCAGAUGACGCACUUAAUAUCAAUGUUAAUUCAACAUAUGACUAUAUUGUUGGCAAGUUAUUUAAGAUUUUUUUUAAUUUUUAUUUCAAUCGUAUUCUUUAAGUGUAUUGCACAUUUAAAUUUCCUAAUCCUUUAAUUUCGUAAAGGAACUUAACAUAACAUGUCUAUCUUUCGACUCUUUAUAUACAUAUAAUUACAUAUUUCUAAUGUACUAGUAUUUAGAAUGUAUGUUCAUAAACAUUUUGUAGAAAUGUUUCGUCUGGCCGUUCGAACAGCGGUAUACUACUGUUGUCUUUUUUUUUUACAUUUUGUAACUCUUUGGUAUUCAUUUGAAAUAAUAAAAAUCUGUUUUUUAGGGUGCCCAUACUUUCAAGCAAACAUUAAAUAUUAGUUGAAACAUCUCCUGUAAGAAUAUUGGUAUGGUACCAGAAGCAGUAUCUUACUUUCUUCUUAUAUCUAUAGUUGGGUCAGGUUCAGCUGGAGCUGUCAUAGCUAACAGACUUUCAGAAGACAGUGAUGUAUCGGUAUUGUUACUUGAAACUGGUGGAUCUGAACUAAACAAUGACAAUAUACGUGUUCCAUUAAAAGUUGGUAGUUUACAAAUGUCUAAUGAAGACUGGGCGUAUUAUACAGUACCACAAAAAUACAGUCAUCGAGCGAUGGUUGAUCAGGUA
Molecule: long non-coding RNA, 2848 nt
Filed under: Mytilus galloprovincialis (Mediterranean mussel)
Lineage: Eukaryota; Metazoa; Mollusca; Bivalvia; Mytilida; Mytilidae
Source: RNAcentral